UAGAACUUUGAACUUGUAAAAUGGAUGGCUAUAGUGUGACUGUGUUCCUUAUUAGGUUAGUCAUGGAUUAAAUCAAUAAACAUGAAAUAUCCACAUUCUAGGCAUGGACAAAUCAAUGAAGAUGAGGCAAACUCUUGAUUUCUUCAUGUGCAUGGUUCCCUGGUGAUAUUCAAAUAACAUGUUGGUGCGUGGGCACAACUCUCAUUUUAUAUUUUUUGUGCAUACACAUGGAUAAAAUGUGUAGGCACGACUCUGUUACCACACUACUUUACUUUUUUUUUUUUUUUUCUCCAUUUCUUCGCUUCUUUUCUUUUUUCUUCUCUUCUUUUUCUUUAAUUAUCAUCUAUCACUAUCAUUCACCAUUCACUAUACCUCCUUUUAGUUAGUUAGUUAGUUAGUUAGUGUUUAGCUAGUAAGUUAAUUAGUUUAAUUUUCUAUUUUAAUAGAUUAGGUUAUUAACAUAGGUUAGAUUUUUUAGUGAUAAGUGUUGGAUUAUUGAUAUUGUUGUUGCUAAAUAUUGUUAGAUAUCUUCAUUGAGAUCAUACUUAACUACUUGGUUGAAUUUUGAAUGUUGGAUAUUUAAUUUGUAUAUACCAAAUACUUAUGACAUUGUCUUCAUGAAUUUUGUUGGAUUUCUAAAUUGCAUGGUAGCUAGCCACUAUAUAAUUUGAAUUCACUAUUUGUUACUUGGCAAUUGUAUGUAGUUGAUGUAUUUUUUUUUUUUGUUAGGUGAUGCUUCCUAUGAUCUAUUUUUAUUUGAGUCAUCUAGUUGAUGCAUUGACAUUAAGAAAUUGUGAAAUUGGAUCGUAAGCCUAUUUAGUGACAUUUUUUGAGAUUUUUAAGUUUUGUGGUCUAAUCUUGCCAUGUUUUUCACUUCAUGUCAUUUAGGUGUUGCAAACAAACUUUCCUCUAUCAUCCAUUUCACAAUUUCUUGAUUUUUGUUUGAAUACUUUUAUGCUCCUUUAUUACUUAUUUAUUUAUCUUAAUCUACAAGUUUCUUUUUUAAAAGUAUUUCAAGCACACUAAAAUGAGUGAAGUGCAUGUUUCUUUGUGUAAUUGUGACAUAGCUUUCUAUGCUAUUGUGUGUUCUAAACUGCCCGCAACUUAGAAUUUACACACUUGUUUUUUUCAUGUCACAAACUAAUUCACUCACUUUAUUUUAGUGAUUCUUACCUCAUUCUAACAAUUUAUACUUCCUUGUUUUUGCAUUUACUCAUCUUACUAUCUUAUUUUCCAUCUUUCAUGGAUGAGUCACCAUAAGAAAAAAGGGAAGCGGGAGAAAGACGCAGCAGCCGGUUGAUCUACCAGCUGAAGAUGGCAAUCCAAAUAGUCGCCAUACUCCCUUGCUCAUCUUUGGAUGCACCGAGGAUGGUGCAAACCUUUAAGUGUAGGGAGGUCACCACCGAUCGGCAAUCUUGGGUUUCCAAGACAAGUAUGGAUUGAAGAAGUGAGAAAAGAGCAUGUAAAAGAGAAGAAAACCAUGAAGAAAUGGAGUUUGGAAGUUUCAGCAUCCGUGUGUGCGCACAGUAAUGCGUACAUACGCACAAGUGUGAGCUCAUGGCGACGCGUACGCGUGACCCAAGCGUACGCGUGAGGGUGAAUUUUGCCAGAUGACGCGUACCCGUGACCCUUGUCACGUGAGCUCAUUAAUUGCAAUUCGCUAGGGACGAAUUCUGGGCCUCCAAAACCCAGUCCAACUCAUUUCUGAAGUUAUUUUAAGACAAAGUGAAGAAGGAUGAAGGGGAGAGUAAUUAGGGUAGUUUGGUAUCAUGUUGCAGGUCAUUUUCUAGAGAGAGAAGUUCCCCCUUCUCUCUAGAAAUUAGUGUUAUUAGUUUAAUUUUUCUAUUUAAUU
This is a long non-coding RNA of Arachis ipaensis, 1852 nucleotides long. RefSeq lists it as uncharacterized. The record is from RefSeq and is a predicted model, not a curated record. Lineage: Eukaryota; Viridiplantae; Streptophyta; Magnoliopsida; Fabales; Fabaceae.